Cyprinus carpio carpio is the source of this 3363-nucleotide long non-coding RNA. NCBI's taxonomy places the organism in Eukaryota, Metazoa, Chordata, Actinopteri, Cypriniformes, Cyprinidae. The record is from Ensembl.
ACACACACACACACACACACACUUUCAUUGCGUAAGGGAACAGAAAAUAAACUUAAAUCAGUGGUCGGCAGAAGGGACUCAUUCUUCAACACAAUCAGUAUUGUCAGCUGAAUCCAUCUGGGACUCAACAAGACGCAGAGAAACCCUGGAUCAAUGAUAAAUGAUUUACACAGAUCAAUCCCAACUCGUUUUGUUCGGUCUGAGAGUGGGAGCAGAGAGAUUGUUGUAUUUCUGAAAGGUUUGUUUGUCUGUGUUAGUUGACAAAGGUAAUGGAUAAAAUGAACUGAUGCCCUGCUCUGACAGACAGAGGUAACAUGAACGUGUAAGUACUCGAGUGCAGAUGUUGUUUCUCCGCAGGAACCCUACAGCAGGUCAACUCUUCAAUUCAGCUCAAACUUGUAAAAGUGAGGCAUUUCAGCGUGAUUAUGUAACUCAUGAGGCAAGCAAAGACCUAUCACUGCAGACUGUACAAGACAAUCAUCUGUUCUCUUUAAACAGCUCAAUUAAAAUGUGUUUUGGGUGAAAGAGUUUUAGAAAUAAAUCAACUUGUAAAAAAAAAAAAAAUGUAUCUCCAAAAUUUCCACUAGCACUAAAACAUUAAAUUAAAACCCAUUUAUUAUGUCAAAGAUAUCGUAUUAUUCAAUAAGAACAUGUCCUGAAUAACCGCCUAAAGUCUCACACGAUGGUAACAACAAAUCAGUGAAGUCUUUCUGAGUGUUUCACCAAAAAUAAAUCAAUAUGUGUUUAUUUAGUAUAAACAAAAAAGGAGGCCUAAGACCAUUAAGAUAUUGUCUUUUGAUGUCUUAUUCAUUUAUUUAUAAUUUUCAUAAAUCUAAGUUAUGAUUACCGCAGAUUCUCUAAUAUAAUCUUUUAUUGUAUUACAGUAAAAAUACCACGAUUAAAAAAUGUGUUAAUUCAGAAAAAAUUGAAAGUUGUAAAACAAAUACGAUUACGUAUAAAUGCUAUCAAAUUCAAUUAAUAUACUGUUUGUUUGUUUUUAUUGGGCUACAGUAAUGAGAAUCAAUAAUGAGAGUUUAAGAGUUUCAUUAAUAGUGCUAAAAAUAGGCUUCAGUUUCUUCAAGCAAAAUGGGAAACACUUUACAAUGAGGUCUAUUAGUAAAUGUUAAUUAAUGCAUUAACCAACAAUGAGCGAUAUGAAUUAAUCUUUGAAUUUUAUUAUUGUAUUAUUUUUUUUAUUUUUUUUUUUUGAUGUGAGGGGAGAAGGAACUCUUUGAAUGUUCAUUAGAUUGCUGUUUAUGUGCAGCUAUAUUCGGUUGUACACUCUGUUUUAAGAUCUGCAUGAUUGGCUGAGAGUGUAUGUAACAGCAGGGUCAUAAUGGACAUGUUCAUUCAUGUGUACCAGCUGAAGCGCAUGACCAUCUCUCAGUCUCGUCCUGUGCAUAGCAACCGCUGUCAAUGGAGAUGACUGAGAGAGAAGCGUGUCGUGAUCCACGCUCUCCCUGCCCUCACAAGAACACAAGCUGUUUUUCAGCUCCACGUACACCUGAGACAGAGGCUUCCCAGAACCAGUUCAACUUAAGACAACUUCAGCGGAGGACAGUCUUUUUUCAUUCAAGCCCACCCUUGUGAAAAAGAAGUCCACUUAAGUAUACUUUUAAAAAGAAUAUUAUUAAUGAAAUAUUAUAAAAGAAGAAUGAGCUAAAUGUAAUGUUUUCAGACACUUAACUGCAUUUUAAAUCAUCACAGUUCAAAUUCAUAUUAAAUUCAAUUAGUUAAACUUAAGUAUGUCUUUAAAUAUAAUUUCCUAAAUCUACUGGAAUAUGGUUAAAGUGGAACUACUGAAUGUACCGACAUGCGUUUAUGAUCAACUAAAAAAUAUGUUAAUGUCAUGUGUACUGGUGAUAUAUUUAAAAUAUAACAUAAUAUUAACAUUAAAUGAAAAAUAAAAAAAAAACUCAUUGCAGUUAAAAUUACAAUCAAGUACUUUACACAUGCUUUACUACACAUUAAAAUAAGAAAGCACAAUGAAAGAUGAUUAAAGCACAAGUAUUUUAACAGAGUGCACUUAUUUAAAGUGUACUUAAGUACGUUUAGAAACAUAGUAAUAAAAGUGAACUCACUUAAAGUAGGCCUACACUUAAGUGGCCUUUUAUUAAUAUGUAUUAUCUGUAAAUACCAUUUUUCCCCCCUAUAUGUGCACUUUAUAAACUUUAAGAUCUAAAAUGCAUUACAAUAUAAUUAAGCACACUUUUUAAUUUCCUGUCAUGUGUGGGUUUAGUGCACUGCUACUGUAGUGUAGAUGUAAAAACAGGCUGUAGGCAUUGAUUUUGCUCGAUGCUUCUAGGGACAUACAGUGCAUUCGGUGCUCAGAUUAUAUCAGUGUUUCCUGGAGAACAAACCCAUGACCUUUGUGCCGCUUGCUCCACACUCCAGCAGCUGAGAUACUAAAACAUUCAGAUGCCCGAGGCGUUUCACAGAACAGCUGUCGAGACAACAUGUUAUGCUCACCUGGCUGGGAGGUAAAUCAGUGAGUAUUUGUAAUGGCUGGCCCUGGGAGAGUCGUUAAGGGGGCAAGCACUCAAGCGUGAGCAAGCAGUUGUGGGCAGGUAGAUACAGACAUGCGCCACUGGAUUUACGGAGACAAGCCAGUGACUGAAUGCAACUACUAAGCAAACACCAGAACAACCUUCAGAAUCCAAAUCUUCAAGAGAUAGUUCAACCAAAAAUGAAAAUACAGUCAGUAAUUACUCACCCUCAUGUCGUUCCAAACCCGUAAGACCUUUGUUCAUCUUUGAAACACAAAUUAAGAUAUUUUUGACGAAAUCCGAGAGCUUUCUGACCCUCCAUAGAGAGCAAGGGUACUCCGAUGUUCAAGGCAUGCAUCGUGAUACUCUCCAUAAUGGCGCCAGGGUGCUGUGGUGGAGAAUUGUUGAAUAAAGUGGUUAUUUUUGUUUUCUUUGCACACAAAACAUAUUCUCGUAGCUUCAUAAAAUUACAGUUGAACCACUGAUGUCACAUGAAUUAUUUUAACAAUGUUCUCACUAACUUUCUGGGCCUUGAAUGUGGUAGUACCCUUGCUGUCUAUGGGAGGGUCAGAGAGCUCUCGGAUUUCAUCAAAAAUAUCUUAAUUUGUGUUCAGAAGUAUUACAGGUUUUGAACGACGUGAGGAGUAAUUAAUGACAGAACUUUUUCCAUUUCUGGGUGAAACUUUAAGACUGAAGCUAAAUCAUAACUAGAGACUAAAUCAUUUUUGCAGUGUUAAUUUUGUAAUAAUUAUAUUAUAGUAUUAAAUAUAAGGAAAUAUUGUAACUAACUAUUAAGAAAGUUACUUUAAAAAGUAAUGCAUUGAAAUAUUGUGUUACUCCAUAAAAAAGUAACAGAUUGCGUUAGUUAGGAAAGUAA